Molecule: ribosomal RNA, 500 nt
Filed under: uncultured Alphaproteobacteria bacterium
Lineage: Bacteria; Pseudomonadati; Pseudomonadota; Alphaproteobacteria
Description: bacterial SSU rRNA
Rfam family: Bacterial small subunit ribosomal RNA
Source: RNAcentral
GGCGGCAGGCUUAACACAUGCAAGUCGAGCGCUCAGCAAUGAGAGCGGCGCACGGGUGAGUAACACGUGGGAACAUGCCCUUUGGUUCGGAAUAACUCAGGGAAACUUGUGCUAAUACCGGAUAAGCCCUUACGGGGAAAGAUUUAUCGCCAAAGGAGUGGCCCGCGUCCGAUUAGCUAGUUGGUGAGGUAAAGGCUCACCAAGGCGACGAUCGGUAGCUGGUCUGAGAGGACGACCAGCCACACUGGGACUGAGACACGGCCCAGACUCCUACGGGAGGCAGCAGUGGGGAAUCUUGAACAAUGGGGGAAACCCUGAUCCAGCCAUGCCGCGUGAGUGAUGAAGGCCCUAGGGUUGUAAAACUCUUUCGGCGGGGACGAUAAUGACGGUACCCGCAGAAGAAGCUCCGGCUAACUUCGUGCCAGCAGCCGCGGUAAUACGAAGGGGGCUAGCGUUGUUCGGAAUUACUGGGCGUAAAGCGCGCGCAGGCGGUCCUUCCA